This 20-nucleotide unclassified non-coding RNA is filed under the name Mus musculus (house mouse). Its description in RNAcentral is "oocyte_clustered_small_RNA2038". The record is from RNAcentral. Lineage: Eukaryota; Metazoa; Chordata; Mammalia; Rodentia; Muridae.
UUAGGAUGAGCUGGCCAGCA